This 519-nucleotide ribosomal RNA is filed under the name uncultured eukaryote. Its description in RNAcentral is "SSU rRNA". It matches the Rfam family "Eukaryotic small subunit ribosomal RNA", at positions 1161 to 1699 of the family's 1831-position model. The record is from RNAcentral.
AGGGCACCACCAGGAGUGGAGCCUGCGGCUUAAUUUGACUCAACACGGGAAAACUCACCCGGCCCGGACACUGGAAGGAUUGACAGAUUGAGAGCUCUUUCUUGAUUCAGUGGGUGGUGGUGCAUGGCCGUUCUUAGUUGGUGGAGUGAUUUGUCUGGUUAAUUCCGAUAACGAACGAGACUCUAGCCUACUAAAUAGAUCAUCGGCUUACAAACGCCGGCGAGACUUCUUAGAGGGACAGGCGGUGAUUCAACCGCACGAAACAGAGCAAUAACAGGUCUGUGAUGCCCUUAGAUGUCCGGGGCCGCACGCGCGCUACACUGAAGUGAUCAGCGUGCUUUUUCAACCUACUCUGUCAAGAGUGGGGAACCCAAUGAACCUUCUUCGUGAUUGGGAUAGGGGAUUGUAAUUGUUCCCCUUGAACGAGGAAUUCCCAGUAAGCGCGAGUCAUAAGCUCGCGUUGAUUACGUCCCUGCCCUUUGUACACACCGCCCGUCGCUACUACCGAUUGAAUGUUUU